RNAcentral lists this ribosomal RNA (735 nucleotides) under Halichoanolaimus anisospermus. Its description in RNAcentral is "eukaryotic LSU rRNA". It matches the Rfam family "Eukaryotic large subunit ribosomal RNA", at positions 378 to 924 of the family's 3401-position model. The record is from RNAcentral. Lineage: Eukaryota; Metazoa; Nematoda; Chromadorea; Chromadorida; Selachinematidae.
GAAGAGAGAGUUCAGAGGGCGUGAACCGUUUAGACGAAAACGGCUAGAGCUGAUGAAAGUCUGAUGGAUUCAUCUUAUCUGACGAUAGUUCGCCACUCGUUUCCAGACCUUAACUGGCUGGGAUCGUGCUCGCGUUUUGCUAACGUCAGUUGGUGCACUUCCUUCAGAUGGACGUCGAGGGCGAUGACGGCUCGGUGGGAAGUCUAGUGUUGAGGGCUGKAGCUUCGGCUUCAGUGUCCCACGCUGACGGACCAGGCGUAGCUGACAUUGUUGGUGCUUAUGUGCCCACAUCGUCUCGGUAGCGCUGGAACGGUGGCUCUGAAACUUCUGUGGUACUCUGUUCGCAGGUCCAUGGAAUCAGACUGUCGUAUUUAGAAGGCGUUUUACCGAGUUGGUGCAGCCUCGACGUUUAAAGUCGGCCACCUAGCCGACCCGUCUUGAAACACGGACCAAGGAGUUUAACAUGUGUGCGAGUGAUUGGGUCGAAGACCUAAGAGCGAAAUGAAAGUAAAAGUUGGCUUUGGUCGACUUAGAUGGGAUCCCCGCACCCUCGUGGUCGGGGCGCACCAUCGUCCCGUCCCGUCUGCAUUGUCAGUGGGACGGAGAUAGAGCACACAUGUUGAGACCCGAAAGAUGGUGAACUAUGCCUGAGCAGGAUGAAGCCAGAGGAAACUCUGGUGGAAGUCCAUAGCGGUUCUGACGUGCAAAUCGAUCGUCAGACUUGGGUAUAGGGGC